This 652-nucleotide long non-coding RNA is filed under the name Coturnix japonica (Japanese quail). RNAcentral's name for it is "lncRNA (ENSCJPG00005010897.1)". The record is from RNAcentral. Lineage: Eukaryota; Metazoa; Chordata; Aves; Galliformes; Phasianidae.
CGCAUUUCCCGGCCGGCAGCGCUCAGUCUUGCGGGCACGGAGCUCCCCGAGCGGCUGCUGAGGCUGCCGGGGACCCCGGAGGUGCCGCACGCCGGGUCUGGGGAGGCUCCUCUGGCAGCACAAGGGAAGGGACGCGGACUGGAUCCGCCGCCCCGAGCCUCCGGGCAGCCCCCGGCCGGCGCCACUUCCGCCGGGGCGGGCGGAGCCCCCGCCUCAUCCCGCGCCCCGCCCGCCGCCUGCGCCCGCCCCCAGCCGGGCCGGGAGCCGCAGGGACGGGGGGAUAAGAGCUCGGUAGCCGGAGGCACCGGAGUGGGCCGGGGCUGCCGUGCUGAGCGGGAUGCGCUGCCGCAGCUGCCCCGCUUCACUCAUGCCAGGGGCUUCGUCGGCUCCAGUCGCGUCUGCCCUCCGGAGCCCGCAGCUUCAGUCUGAGCGCUCGUCCCGGGGCGUGCAGCACCUCUGCAUGUGUUUCAUUGGGACCUUUGUUGUUUUCGACGGAGCUCAAUCAAGCAUUACAUCAUUCCAACCGGAAUCUCACCUCCUUGCUUGCUGUUAUGCUGUGUGGCUUACCUGGUGGUGGGGAGAGAAAAGGAGAGGGAGAAAACAAUGCUGCAUGUUAGGAAAUAUGAGACAAAUUCAAAUGCCCAAUGGAUGA